AUGUCAGAAUGCUUCAAUAGGGUGCUGAAGGGUGUACGUGCGUUACCCGUGACGACAAUAGUUCAGUACACAUUCGACAAGUUGAAUGCAUACUUUCUGAAGUACUCAAUGGAAACGGAUAAGCAGAUUGCGGGUGAGAACAAGCACAAGUACAAGUACAAUUUCCCACCAAAAGUUGAUGAAUGGUUGAAAUUUCAAUCACGGAAGACAGACUCACAAAAGGUUAUAUUAUAUAACAAUGACAAUUGGUUGUACGAAGUGAAAGAGCCAGGAGGAACCACAAACGAUGCCCGCCAACACAGAGCCCAGGCUUGCAAGGUCUCCCUAACACGGUGUGAUUGCUCUUGAGGGAGGCCAUCGUUGCUUCAUCUCCCAUGCUCGCACUUGUAUACUGAAACUCACGUUAGGAAUGUGGACGUCAAUCAUCCGCUCACCGUGAGGGAGUCAGAGUUCUUGAUACAUCUCCAAUGUAUCUAUAUUUUUUUAUUGUUCCAUGCCGUUAUAUUAUCAAUCUUGGAUGUUUUAUAUUCAUUUUAUAGCAACUUUAUACCAUUUUUUGGGACUAACCUAUUGACAUAG
This 579-nucleotide ribosomal RNA is filed under the name Triticum aestivum (bread wheat). RNAcentral describes it as "partial small subunit ribosomal RNA". Lineage: Eukaryota; Viridiplantae; Streptophyta; Magnoliopsida; Poales; Poaceae. The record is from RNAcentral.